UACAGAGGGUGCAAGCGUUGUUCGGAAUUACUGGGCGUAAAGGGCGCGUAGGCGGCCUUCUAAGUCGGACGUGAAAUCCCUCGGCUUAACCGAGGAACUGCGUCCGAUACUGAAAGGCUUGAAUCCGGGAGAGGGAUGUGGAAUUCCAGGUGUAGCGGUGAAAUGCGUAGAUAUCUGGAGGAACACCGGUGGCGAAGGCGGCAUCCUGGACCGGCAUUGACGCUGAGGCGCGAAAGCUAGGGGAGCAAACGGG
Molecule: ribosomal RNA, 253 nt
Filed under: uncultured bacterium
Lineage: Bacteria
Description: partial 16S ribosomal RNA
Rfam family: Bacterial small subunit ribosomal RNA
Source: RNAcentral